UACGUAGGGGGCAAGCGUUGUCCGGAAUUAUUGGGCGUAAAGCGCGCGCAGGCGGUCAGUUAAGUUGGGUGUUUAAGCCCGGGGCUCAACCCCGGUACGCAUCCAAAACUGGUUGACUUGAGUGUAGGAGAGGAAAGUGGAAUUCCACGUGUAGCGGUGAAAUGCGUAGAGAUGUGGAGGAACACCAGUGGCGAAGGCGACUUUCUGGCCUAUAACUGACGCUGAGGCGCGAAAGCGUGGGGAGCAAACAGG
This 252-nucleotide ribosomal RNA is filed under the name uncultured bacterium. RNAcentral's name for it is "partial 16S ribosomal RNA". It matches the Rfam family "Bacterial small subunit ribosomal RNA", at positions 524 to 776 of the family's 1533-position model. The record is from RNAcentral.